GAAAUGCGAUAAGUAAUGUGAAUUGCACAAUUCAGUGAAUCAUCGAAUCUUUGAACGCACAUUGCGCCCCCUGGUAUUCCGGGGGGCAUGCCUGUUCGAGCGUCAUUUCACCACUCAAGCCUCGCUUGGUAUUGGGCGACGCGGUCCGCCGCGCGCCUCAAAUCGACCGGCUGGGUCUUUCGUCCCCUCAGCGUUGUGGAAACUAUUCGCUAAAGGGUGCCGCGGGAGGCCACGCCUUAAAACAACCCCAUUUCUAAGGUUGACCUCGGAUCAGGUAGGGAUACCCGCUGAACUUAAGC
This 299-nucleotide unclassified non-coding RNA is filed under the name plant metagenome. RNAcentral describes it as "partial contains 5.8S ribosomal RNA, internal transcribed spacer 2, and large subunit ribosomal RNA". The stretch from base 1 to 105 matches the Rfam family "5.8S ribosomal RNA", at positions 50 to 154 of the family's 154-position model. The record is from RNAcentral.